Molecule: ribosomal RNA, 484 nt
Filed under: uncultured bacterium
Lineage: Bacteria
Description: partial 16S ribosomal RNA
Rfam family: Bacterial small subunit ribosomal RNA
Source: RNAcentral
AUUGAACGCUAGCGGGAUGCUUUACACAUGCAAGUCGAACGGCAGCGCGGACUUCGGUCUGGCGGCGAGUGGCGAACGGGUGAGUAAUGUAUCGGAACGUGCCCAGUAGCGGGGGAUAACUACGCGAAAGCGUAGCUAAUACCGCAUACGCCCUACGGGGGAAAGCAGGGGAUCGUAAGACCUUGCACUAUUGGAGCGGCCGAUAUCGGAUUAGCUAGUUGGUGAGGUAACGGCUCACCAAGGCGACGAUCCGUAGCUGGUUUGAGAGGACGACCAGCCAAACUGGGACUGAGACACGGCCCAGACUCCUACGGGAGGCAGCAGUGGGGAAUUUUGGACAAUGGGGGCAACCCUGAUCCAGCCAUCCCGCGUGUGCGAUGAAGGCCUUCGGGUUGUAAAGCACUUUUGGCAGGAAAGAAACGUCGCGGGCUAAUACCCCGUGGAACUGACGGUACCUGCAGAAUAAGCACCGGCUAACUACGUG